ACUCAAAUGAAUUGACGGGGACUCGCACAAGCGGUGGAACAUGAGGUUUAAUUCGACAAUGAACGAAGAACCUCACCAGGGUUUGAAAUGCUUAUUGCAAUCCGGAAGAAACUUCGGACCUUCGCAAGAACAGUAAGCACAGGUGCUGCAUGGUUGUCGUCAGCUCGUGCCGUGAGGCGUUCCCUUAAUUGGGGUAACGAGCGCAACCCCUGUUUCGUGUUACAAGUGUCACGAAAAACUGCCCAGCCUAUUACGCGGGAAUAUGAAAUAUCUAAAAAUAUUUUGUGUUCAUUCGUAGCAGGCUGGGAGGAAGGAGGGGAUGACGUCAAAUCCGCAUGGCCCUUUGAUACCCUGGGCUACACUCAUGUUACAAUGGUCACGACAAUGGGUUGCCAAGUCGUAAGACGGAGCUAAUCCCCCAACCGUGGCCCUAGUUCGGAUUGAGGGCUGCAACUCGCCCUCAUGAAGCUGGAAUCGCUAGUAAUCGUGGGUCAGCUAUACCACGGUGAAUACGUUCUCGAGUCCUGUACACACCGCCCGU
Molecule: ribosomal RNA, 541 nt
Filed under: uncultured bacterium
Lineage: Bacteria
Description: partial 16S ribosomal RNA
Rfam family: Bacterial small subunit ribosomal RNA
Source: RNAcentral